GCAUUGUUGAGGAGUCCCAUACUAGGACGAAACGAUCGUCCAAUGC
Molecule: non-coding RNA, 46 nt
Filed under: Schistosoma haematobium
Lineage: Eukaryota; Metazoa; Platyhelminthes; Trematoda; Strigeidida; Schistosomatidae
Source: RNAcentral